Molecule: ribosomal RNA, 1278 nt
Filed under: uncultured Acidobacteriota bacterium
Lineage: Bacteria; Pseudomonadati; Acidobacteriota
Description: bacterial SSU rRNA
Rfam family: Bacterial small subunit ribosomal RNA
Source: RNAcentral
ACAGUGGCGCACGGGUGAGUAACACGUGGAUAAUCUUCCCUCGAGCGGGGGAUAACAUUCCGAAAGGAGUGCUAAUACCGCAUAAGACCACGGACUCGAAAGAGUCUGAGGUCAAAGCCGGCCUCUAUACAUAAGCUGGCACUUGAGGAUGAGUCCGCGGCCCAUCAGCUAGUUGGCGGGGUAAUGGCUCACCAAGGCUUCGAUCGGUAGCCGGCCUGAGAGGGCGGUCGGCCACACUGGCACUGAGACACGGGCCAGACUCCUACGGGAGGCAGCAGUGGGGAAUUUUGGGCAAUGGGCGCAAGCCUGACCCAGCAACGCCGCGUGAAGGACGAAAUCCCUCUGGGAUGUAAACUUCGAAAGUCAGGAAAGAAAUCCUUNGGGGGUAAUAUCUCUAAGGGAUGACGGUACCUGACGUAAGCCCCGGCUAACUACGUGCCAGCAGCCGCGGUAAUACGUAGGGGGCAAGCGUUGUUCGGAAUUACUGGGCGUAAAGGGCGCGUAGGCGGCACGGCAAGUCAGGAGUGAAAGGCCUGGGCUCAACCGAGGAACUGCUUUUGAGACUGCCGAGCUAGAGUGCGGAAGGGGCAACUGGAAUUCCCAGUGUAGCGGUGAAAUGCGUAGAUAUUGGGAAGAACACCUGAGGCGAAGGCGGGUUGCUGGGCCGACACUGACGCUGAGGCGCGAAAGCCAGGGGAGCAAACGGGAUUAGAUACCCCGGUAGUCCUGGCCCUAAACGAUGGAUACUUGGUGUAUGGGGUUCUUCGAGUCCCCGUGUGCCGGAGCUAACGCGUUAAGUAUCCCGCCUAGGGAGUACGGUCGCAAGGCUGAAACUCAANGGAAUUGACGGGGACCCGCACAAGCGGUGGAGCAUGUGGUUUNAAUUCGACGCAACGCGAAGAACCUUACCUGGGUUAAAUCCUACCUUGCUGCCCUAGAGAUAGGGAGUCCCUUCGGGGNAGGUAGGACGNUGCUGCAUGGCUGUCGUCAGCUCGUGCCGUGAGGUGUUGGGUUAAGUCCCGCAACGAGCGCAACCCUUAUCGAUAGUUGCCAGCAUUAAGUUGGGCACUCUAUAGAGACUGCCGGUGACAAACCGGAGGAAGGUGGGGACGCCGUCAAGUCAUCAUGGCCUUUAUGUCCAGGGCUACACACGUGCUACAAUGGCCGGUACAGAGCGCUGCGAAACGGCAACGUUGAGCCAAUCGCUAAAAGCCGGUCUCAGUUCGGAUUGCAGUCUGCAACUCGACUGCAUGAAGGUGGAAUCGCUAGUAAUCGCGG